RNAcentral lists this ribosomal RNA (491 nucleotides) under bacterium SNB-CN88. Its description in RNAcentral is "bacterial SSU rRNA". It matches the Rfam family "Bacterial small subunit ribosomal RNA", at positions 36 to 528 of the family's 1533-position model. The record is from RNAcentral.
AGGAACUGGCGGCGUGCUUACACAUGCAAGUCGAACGAUGAAGGCUGGUGCUUGCACUGAGCUGGAUUAGUGGCGAACGGGUGAGUAACACGUGAGUAACCUGCCCUUGGCUCUGGGAUAAGCGCUGGAAACGGCGUCUAAUACCGGAUAUAACUUCCUGCCGCAUGGUGGGGGGUGGAAAGUUUUUGCGGCUUUGGAUGGACUCGCGGCCUAUCAGCUUGUUGGUGAGGUAGUGGCUCACCAAGGCGACGACGGGUAGCCGGCCUGAGAGGGUGACCGGCCACACUGGGACUGAGACACGGCCCAGACUCCUACGGGAGGCAGCAGUGGGGAAUAUUGCACAAUGGGCGAAAGCCUGAUGCAGCAACGCCGCGUGGGGGAUGACGGCCUUCGGGUUGUAAACCUCUUUUGGUAGGGAAGAAGCCUUCGGGUGACGGUACCUGCAGAAAAAGGACCGGCUAACUACGUGCCAGCAGCCGGGGGUAAUACAA